GCAAACUUGGUCAUUUAGAGGAAGUAAAAGUCGUAACAAGGUUUCCGUAGGUGAACCUGCGGAAGGAUCAUUAAAGAACUGUGAGCACUUGGUUGUCGCUGGCUCUCUAGGGAGCAUGUGCACGCCGGGUUCAAACUUUCAACUCUUUUUAUUCUCCUGUGCACUUUUGUGGAUCGAGACUUGGGGUAACUUUUCUCAAAGUAACAUUUGGUUUUGGAAUUUGCCGGUUGAAAGGCUUGCUCUUUCCUACAUCCUGUCUCGGUUCAUGUCUUUUUUUUUACACCCUAUUUAAUACAAUCUAGAAUGCUUUUACGAGUUUGGGACUUGAGUGACCCAUCUCAAAUUAUUAUACAACUUUCAACAACGGAUCUCUUGGCUCUCGCAUCGAUGAAGAACGCAGC
This 401-nucleotide unclassified non-coding RNA is filed under the name uncultured fungus. Its description in RNAcentral is "partial contains small subunit ribosomal RNA, internal transcribed spacer 1, and 5.8S ribosomal RNA". The stretch from base 1 to 73 matches the Rfam family "Eukaryotic small subunit ribosomal RNA", at positions 1759 to 1831 of the family's 1831-position model. The record is from RNAcentral. Lineage: Eukaryota; Fungi.